Picea glauca (white spruce) is the source of this 121-nucleotide non-coding RNA. The record is from Rfam. Lineage: Eukaryota; Viridiplantae; Streptophyta; Pinopsida; Pinales; Pinaceae.
ACAUGCCUACAACAUAGCGUUAGUGCAUUGGAUCCCAUUAUAACUCCACAGUUAAGUGUGCUCAAGCUAGAGUAGUAUUGGGAUGGGUGACCGCCCAAGAAGUCCUAGUGUUUUACAUGCC